Long non-coding RNA from Leptonychotes weddellii (Weddell seal), 1453 nucleotides. RefSeq lists it as uncharacterized. NCBI's taxonomy places the organism in Eukaryota, Metazoa, Chordata, Mammalia, Carnivora, Phocidae. The record is from RefSeq and is a predicted model, not a curated record.
UGGUGCCAGUGGCGGAGCUGGGGGGGGCGCGGUUGCACGGCCCUGGAGGAGGUGGGACAAAGGCCAGAACGCGAAGCCGGGCCGGGGCGCCUUCCCGGGACUCCAGACGGACCCCACCAGAAGUGCGAGGGGGAAGCAGUCCCAUGAGCAACUCGUUGGAGAGGCCCAAGUGGAGAGGAAUGGAAGCCCCUGGCCGGCAGCCACAUGAGUGAGUUUGGAAGCAGGUCCUCCAGCCCUCACCAAGCCUUCAGAUGAGACUGCAGCCCUGGUUGACACCAUGACUGCAACCAAACGACAGACUCUGAGCAGGACCACCCUGAGGAAUUCCUGACUCUCUGAAACUGUAUUGUUUGUGCUCCUGAAGUGCGGAGGAACCGGUAAGCACUCAGUCUGAAAGGCUGCACAGUCGCCGAUCCUCCUUGGUGUGGAAGCGCCAUCUUUGUAGGUGCAAUCCUGCCAGCGCAUCUGAGGGAAGUGCAGCCCGCAUUCUGCAGGGAGACACAGAGAGAAGGUGUGGCCACACGUUCCUUCCUGCUGACCUUGGGGCACCUGCACCAAAUACCUAUGAGCUGUGAAGGUCCAGGCCAACCGUGCAGAGAGAUGACCCUGCUGAUUGUGGAGGAGGCAGAGGGCGUGGCUCAUCUUGGCUGGGAGGAGGCUUCCCAAAAGAUUGUGACAUCUAGGCUAGAUGGGCCACUAGAAGCCCUGUCCCAAGUGGUCACCUGCUAAGCAUUGGUCUGAGGAACAGUGGUCACUAGGUGGCUUUGUGUCAUUUAAGGUCCACUCAAGCUCCAGCUCUGGCCUAUUCUCAGCCCCCUGAGACCUACAGAAGGUGGUUUGAAUGUAGGUCCAGAUGACACGUUGAGGACCUCUGGUGAGGGGAGAGAACAGGGUCAAGGACGGACCAUGCAGGAAGCGCUUCAUCUGGGCAUGGUCAGAGAGGAAGAAGGAGAUCCCGGGAGCAGGCGGAGCCUGGGGACACCGACACAUGGGUAGGAUGAGGGGUGAUAAGGGCCACCAAAUCUCAUGACAGGAAUAAAGAAAGACUACAAGAGACCAUGAAAAGGUUUUUUCCCCCCUCAUGAUGUAUUAUAAUAAGGACUAGCCAGUAUUUAAACAUGAUCGAGGAGAUGAAAAAUUCUGAUAUUGUGAAUUGAACAUCAAACUAAAAUAUGUGUGCCUUUAAGUCUGAAGUUUAUUCAGGAAAAAACCAAGUUUGCCCAAGAACAUAAAGGAUUCCUCAAACCUUCAUUUGUUGUUUGUAAAGGCUGUUUUCAUUGACUGAAAGAUUGUGCCAGCCUUCCUGUGCGCCUACUGAUGCAGAAGCAGCCAUAAGCUUUACGAAAGGAAGAGCCACUCCCCUUAAAGGGGCAUUUCUGACCUCGAUAAGAUUUGUGUAGGACACAGGACCUUCAGAGUGUUGCUUCAGGUCAGAUGUUAGGAUUUCAAGGAC